UUCCCGGUCGGGGACGAGGGUGACGAGGUGGUGCAUGGUUGUCGUCAGCUCGUGUCGUGAGAUGUUGGGUUAAGUCCCGCAACGAGCGCAACCCUUGUCUUUAAUUGCCAUCAUUGAGUUGGGCACUUUAAAGAGACUGCCGGUGUUAAACCGGAGGAAGGUGGGGAUGACGUCAAGUCCUCAUGGCCUUUAUGCCCAGGGCUACACACGUGCUACAAUGGGUGGUACAAAGAGCAGCCAGCUCGCGAGAGUGAGCAAAUCUCAAAAAGCCAUCCUCAGUUCGGAUUGAAGUCUGCAACUCGACUUCAUGAAGUUGGAAUCGCUAGUAAUCGCGGAUCAGCACGCCGCGGUGAAUACGUUCCCGGGCCUU
RNAcentral lists this ribosomal RNA (370 nucleotides) under uncultured Syntrophus sp. RNAcentral's name for it is "bacterial SSU rRNA". It matches the Rfam family "Bacterial small subunit ribosomal RNA", at positions 1014 to 1382 of the family's 1533-position model. Lineage: Bacteria; Pseudomonadati; Thermodesulfobacteriota; Syntrophia; Syntrophales; Syntrophaceae. The record is from RNAcentral.